UCGAGAAUUUUUCUCAAUGGGGGAAACCCUGAAGGAGCGACGCCGCGUGGAGGAUGAAGGCUUUCGGGUUGUAAACUCCUGUCAUUUGAGAACAAAACACACGUGUUAACUGCACGAGUGUUGAUAGUAUCAGAAGAGGAAGGGACGGCUAACUCUGUGCCAGCAGCCGCGGUAAUACAGAGGUCCCAAGCGUUGUUCGGAUUCAUUGGGCGUAAAGGGUGCGUAGGUGGCGCCGUAAGUCGGGUGUGAAAUCUCGGGGCUUAACUCCGAAACUGCAUUCGAUACUGCGGUGCUUGAGGACUGGAGAGGAGACUGGAAUUCAUGGUGUAGCAGUGAAAUGCGUAGAGAUCAUGAGGAAGACCAGUGGCGAAGGCGGGUCUCUGGACAGUUCCUGACACUGAGGCACGAAGGCCAGGGGAGCAAACGG
Molecule: ribosomal RNA, 427 nt
Filed under: uncultured bacterium
Lineage: Bacteria
Description: bacterial SSU rRNA
Rfam family: Bacterial small subunit ribosomal RNA
Source: RNAcentral